This 1789-nucleotide unclassified non-coding RNA is filed under the name Hevea brasiliensis (rubber tree). Lineage: Eukaryota; Viridiplantae; Streptophyta; Magnoliopsida; Malpighiales; Euphorbiaceae. The record is from RNAcentral.
CCAGGUCGGGUGGGUCAGUCUAAUUGAUCAUUUUCCCGUCUUCCCUCUCUCGUCAUCAUCUCAGCCUAAGCAGCCUAGUGCGCUUCUUCUUCAUUGAAACCGCAAAGACCAGUGAAGAAAACGUUCUCUUUACCAUUUUCCCUUGUCUACUUGAUUCUUUCUAAGGAAAAUGGAGAACCUGAAUAUGGCGCUACUCUCCUCUUCCUCUUCUUCUUCUUAUUAUUCUUCUCCAAAAUUGGUUUUGCGUUAUUCUACUUACCUCAAAAACCCUACUGCUACCCUUCAAUUCUCUAGAACCAGAGCCCUUCCCUUCACUCUUAGGAAUUACAGGAUUGUGCCUCACAGCUCCAGAAUUUCCAACUCUGCUAUGUCUCACCCUCGCGCCUCCACCAACCCUUCCAGAGUUUACAAAGAUAGGAGAUUAGGUGCUGAAUACUUCGCGAGCAUUUCUUCAUCGACCGGUCAGCAAACGUCUUCUGUUGGGGUUAACCCACAGCCACUGCCACCUCCGNCGUCUUCACAAUUCGGGUCACCUUUGUUUUGGAUUGGAGUUGGUGUUGGACUGUCCGCACUUUUUUCAUGGGUGGCUACGAAUUUAAAGAAAUAUGCCAUGCAACAAGCUUUCAAAACUAUGAUGAACCAGAUGAAUACACAAAAUAACCAAUUCACCAAUCCUGCUGUUUCUCCUGGUUCACCCUUUCCAUUUCCAAUACCUCCUGCAUCAGGACCUACUAGCUCACCUUCAUAUCAAACACCAUCAGCAUCUGGGGCUGCUACCUCCCCUUCAUAUCCAACAUCAUCACCACCUCCAGUUGCAUCUCAAUCUACAAUCACUGUAGAUGUUCCUGAAACAAAAGUAGAAGCAACUCCAGUCACCGAUGCCAAAGAUGAAUCAGAGAUAAAGAAGGAACCUAAGAAAUAUGCUUUUGUAGAUGUCUCUCCUGAAGAAACUUUUCCAAAGAGUCCUUUUAUAAGCGAUGAAGACAUUUCAGGCACAAGCUCAUCCAAAGAUGCUCAGUUUGCCAAAGAAGUUUCUCAAAAUGGCGCUGCUUCUAACCAGGAUUCCAGUGCUUCUUAUGGUUCUCAAUCUACUCGUCCUCGCUUAUCUGUGGAGGCUCUGGAGAAAAUGAUGGAAGAUCCGACUGUGCAGAAGAUGGUUUAUCCAUAUUUACCAGAGGAGAUGAGGAACCCUUCUACUUUCAAAUGGAUGCUGCAAAAUCCACAAUACCGUCAACAACUGGAAGACAUGCUGAAUAAUAUGAGUGGAAGCGGUGAAUGGGACAACCGGAUGAUGGAAUCCUUGAAAAAUUUUGAUCUCAGCAGUCCUGAGGUCAAGCAGCAAUUUGAUCAAAUUGGCCUUACCCCUGAAGAAGUAAUCUCAAAAAUCAUGGCUAACCCCGAUGUUGCCCUGGCAUUUCAAAAUCCUAGAGUUCAAAAAGCCAUUAUGGAUUGUUCACAGAACCCGCUUAGCAUAGCCAAAUAUCAGAAUGACAAGGAGGUUAUGGAUGUCUUCAACAAAAUAUCAGAACUCUUCCCAGGGGUGACAGGUUCUUAGUCUCAUCACUUGUGCAGAAUUGCUGUUCUUGAGGAUAAAUAUGCUGAUGGGUUUGCAGCUGGUGAGCAAAUGGCAAUAGAGCCUGCUGGAUUGUUCACUUCUCAUAUGAAAAUGGUUCCAAAAUUUUUGGAUAUUGCCCCUCCUUUCCCUUUGACUUUUUGUGCAAAUAGGGCAUAGUUUCAGUUUAAAUUUGUACAAGGCCUUUGGGAUGUUCUUGUAAAGUUACUUAUCAUU